RNAcentral lists this transfer RNA (89 nucleotides) under Streptomyces djakartensis. RNAcentral's name for it is "tRNA-His". Lineage: Bacteria; Bacillati; Actinomycetota; Actinomycetes; Kitasatosporales; Streptomycetaceae. The record is from RNAcentral.
UUUCGGGUGUGGGGGUUGCCGGAGCUCUUCCGUGGGGAGUGCGAGAGCGCGUGGGAGCGCUCCCGCAGUGCACAGGCUGCGCCUGAAGA